UACGGAGGGUGCAAGCGUUGUUCGGAAUUAUUGGGCGUAAAGCGCGUGUAGGCGGCUUUGCAAGUCGGGUGUGAAAGCCCUCAGCUUAACUGAGGAAGUGCGCCCGAAACUGCAGAGCUCGAGUACCGGAGAGGAUGGUGGAAUUCCCCAAGUAGGGGUGAAAUUCGUAGAUAUGGGGAGGAACACCGGUGGCGAAGGCGACCAUCUGGACGGAUACUGACGCUGAGACGCGAAAGCGUGGGUAGCAAACAGG
Molecule: ribosomal RNA, 253 nt
Filed under: uncultured bacterium
Lineage: Bacteria
Description: partial 16S ribosomal RNA
Rfam family: Bacterial small subunit ribosomal RNA
Source: RNAcentral